Molecule: small RNA, 28 nt
Filed under: Bombyx mori (domestic silkworm)
Lineage: Eukaryota; Metazoa; Arthropoda; Insecta; Lepidoptera; Bombycidae
Description: ovarian small RNA-28140
Source: RNAcentral
UCGAAAUGGUCAUAGAACGAAAGUUUGA